CUUUCUCCUGUUCAACAUCAGACGCAGAGAAGGAAGAAGAGAAGAUAAUUCUGCAGCAGGUCAUCAUUUUGGACAUUGCAUGAACUUCACCAUGAAGAUACUAGCUGUGUCUGUACUUCUUGUUGCCAUGAUGGCUCUGGCUCUGGCUACUGAAGCUCCUCCAGAAGCAGAGGCAGCUGCGGUGACAGAAGCACCAGUUCAAGAAGAUGAAGCAGCUGAUGACAGUUCAAGUGA
This is a long non-coding RNA of Larimichthys crocea (large yellow croaker), 234 nucleotides long. RefSeq lists it as uncharacterized. The record is from RefSeq and is a predicted model, not a curated record. The transcript has 4 exons. NCBI's taxonomy places the organism in Eukaryota, Metazoa, Chordata, Actinopteri, Sciaenidae.